Long non-coding RNA from Frankliniella occidentalis (western flower thrips), 1342 nucleotides. RefSeq lists it as uncharacterized. NCBI's taxonomy places the organism in Eukaryota, Metazoa, Arthropoda, Insecta, Thysanoptera, Thripidae. The transcript has 3 exons. The record is from RefSeq and is a predicted model, not a curated record.
CUUCCUUUCAAGCAACCGGAACAAUUACAACCAAUGCGCAGGGUGAGCCGUAGAACCACUGGAGCGAGGAGAUGAGGAGCUGUUCGACUGGCGUGGGGCAGCGAAAAGAUCGCAUCUCAACAUUGCUGCUCAACCAGAUGGAAGUCAUCCCACUUAACGGCAGUACAAGAGAAUCAUUUGACAAUAUAAUAUAUCUAAUUGUAUCAUGUCAUUCAUCUGACUUCUUGACUUCUUUGUCUUGGAUCGUAGUAUAGAGCAUGGAUUUUGUUGUCUUGGAUCGUAGUAUAGAUCAUGGUAUAUGGCUCUUUGGAUUGUAGUAUAGAAUGGUGUUUGUUGUAUUGGUUCUCGUGUAUUAGUUUUUACAUUUUGGUAGGAUUUUGCAGGGUUUAUUGCUUGUAUUUUGUGUUGGGUGUAGAAAAAAAAGUCUAAUCUCUUCCUUAUUUUCUUGACAUCAAAACCAUCUGCGUACUCCUGCAUCAUACAUCAUUUCAUAGAGAGCAAAACUGUAAAAUUUAUUACUGUUAAGAAUGUUAAGCAUUUUUCCAAUCAAUUUAGUACUUCCUAUUCAUUUUAAAUAUGUAGUGAAAUCAUCCUAUUGUCUCUUAUGGAUUCAGUCCCUCACUGUUGAGUCAACCUAUGGACCUUUCAGGUAUUUAGUAUUAGGAAUUUUUUACAAUGAGCUUUUCAAAUUAGUCUGUCUUCAAAAUUGAGGGCUGUGUUCUGCCGAUAAAAUGUGAAGGAAGUUUAUAAUAUAUUUCCAUGGAAUUUUGAAGAGUUCAAAUUUAUUUAAUGGCAUAAAAGUUCAGACUAUCCUAAAUCUUGUAUGUAAACCCCCAUCAGGGUGUUGAGCACAUUUAGCAGAGUUAGCAUAUGCACCUUGAAUGAACUUGAUACUACCAUUUUCUGGACAUCUAUAUCAACGUUACUGUGCUCACUUGUAUCAUACAUCAUUAAGACCAAAGAGAAAAACUGUAAAAUGUAACUGUAAAUGGUAUUCGAGCUACUACGUAUUUUUUACUGAUAACUCAUAUGCUUGUAAAUUGUUUCAUUGGUAUUGGUUGUUCAGCAUUUCUCAAAUGAAUUAAUUACUUCCUAUUUAGCAAUCUGUGCAAAUUGUUCGACCAUUUAUUAAGUUUCAUAUUACUCUAGUUCAUGUUCUGAAACUGAAAUUAACCAUACUGUUAAAGUACUGUCUCGUGUGGAAUUGUGUGCUCCUCAUUAACAUGUCAGAUAAUUUUUGAUAUUUUGCAUUUGAGGCAAGGAACUCAACAAACUAGUUGGUACUGAAUGUGAAUGUAUGUAUCCUAUUGUGUCUUGGAAAUAUAAUUUAUUGGAAAUGCGA